This 253-nucleotide ribosomal RNA is filed under the name uncultured microorganism. RNAcentral's name for it is "partial small subunit ribosomal RNA". It matches the Rfam family "Bacterial small subunit ribosomal RNA", at positions 524 to 776 of the family's 1533-position model. The record is from RNAcentral.
UACGAAGGGUGCAAGCGUUAAUCGGAAUUACUGGGCGUAAAGCGCGCGUAGGUGGUUUGGUAAGAUGGAUGUGAAGUCCCCGGGCUCAACCUGGGAACUGCAUCCAUAACUGCCUGACUAGAGUACGGUAGAGGGUGGUGGAAUUUCCUGUGUAGCGGUGAAAUGCGUAGAUAUAGGAAGGAACACCAGUGGCGAAGGCGACCACCUGGACUGAUACUGACACUGAGGUGCGAAAGCGUGGGGAGCAAACAGG